AAUCAACGCUGGCGGCGUGCCUAACACAUGCAAGUCGAACGCGAAAGCCCCGCAAGGGGUAAGUAGAGUGGCAAACGGGUGAGUAACACGUGGGUGACCUGCCUUCGAGUGGGGGAUAACGUCCCGAAAGGGACGCUAAUACCGCAUAAUAUGCCGCCUUUGAAGAGGUGGACAUCAAAGCUGGGGAUCGCAAGACCUAGCGCUGGAAGAGGGGCCCGCGCCCGAUUAGCUAGUUGGUGAGGUAAUGGCUCACCAAGGCUACGAUCGGUAGCCGGCCUGAGAGGGCGGACGGCCACACUGGGACUGAGAAACGGCCCAGACUCCUACGGGAGGCAGCAGUGAGGAAUUUUCCGCAAUGGGCGAAAGCCUGACGGAGCGACGCCGCGUGUGGGAAGAAGGCCCUCGGGUCGUAAACCACUGUCGAAGGGGACGAUAAUGACGGUACCCUUGGAGGAAG
This 457-nucleotide ribosomal RNA is filed under the name uncultured bacterium. RNAcentral's name for it is "bacterial SSU rRNA". It matches the Rfam family "Bacterial small subunit ribosomal RNA", at positions 29 to 490 of the family's 1533-position model. The record is from RNAcentral.